RNAcentral lists this ribosomal RNA (486 nucleotides) under uncultured bacterium. RNAcentral's name for it is "partial 16S ribosomal RNA". It matches the Rfam family "Bacterial small subunit ribosomal RNA", at positions 28 to 507 of the family's 1533-position model. The record is from RNAcentral.
GACGAACGCUGGCGGCGUGCUUAACACAUGCAAGUCGAACGCUGAAGACCUGGCUUUUGUUGGGUUGGAUGAGUGGCGAACGGGUGAGUAACACGUGAGUAACCUGCCCUCUUCUUUGGGAUAACGCCCGGAAACGGGUGCUAAUACUGGAUAUUCACUGAUCUUCGCAUGGGGGUUGGUGGAAAGGUUUGUUCUGGUGGGGGAUGGGCUCGCGGCCUAUCAGCUUGUUGGUGGGGUGAUGGCCUACCAAGGCUUUGACGGGUAGCCGGCCUGGGAGGGUGACCGGUCACAUUGGGACGGAGAUACGGCCCAGACUCCUACGGGAGGCAGCAGUGGGGAAUAUUGCACAAUGGGCGAAAGCCUGAUGCAGCGACGCCGCGUGAGGGAUGGAGGCCUUCGGGUUGUAAACCUCUUUCGCUCAUGGUCAAGCCGCAACUGUGGGUUGUGGUGAGGGUAGUGGGUAAAGAAGCGCCGGCUAACUACGUG